This is a long non-coding RNA of Helianthus annuus (common sunflower), 1302 nucleotides long. RefSeq lists it as uncharacterized. NCBI's taxonomy places the organism in Eukaryota, Viridiplantae, Streptophyta, Magnoliopsida, Asterales, Asteraceae. The record is from RefSeq and is a predicted model, not a curated record. The transcript is spliced from 4 exons.
AACUAAAGCAUAACUAUAAAAUUGGUUUAAACUGGGUGGCAAUUGAAAAUUUGAGAUGAAUGGCAGGGCUUUUGAAAUUCGAAUCACCAGCAAUUUGUAUAUCCGUAAAUCAUGCUCUCCCACCCAAUUCAGUUCAAUGUGCCUACUUCUUUGUGCAUUUUAAAAUUCCUUCGUACCUCUUAUUCUCACCAAACCUUAUAAACGUUAAUCUCUCCCUCUCUUUCUAACUGGGGAAUUCAAUUCAUGCCUUUGGAUUCAUCAAUUGAGAAGGAUUUGUGAAGAUCAAAAGUAUAGCUGAGUUUGUUGAGCUGUAACCAUGUGUAUUUGUUGAGCCCUAACUUAUGUGGGAUCUAGUGAGGAUGAAAUUUAUUAAUGUUCGUAACCAUUGUUUUGUCUUUGAGAUAUGUUACAUUAUUCACUAGGCAUCAACUAUGCCCUAUGUUCAUCUUAUUCUUGAAUACAGGCGAGUAUUACUCAAUGUUCAGGGGCUUUUCGCUAUCUUCAAGAGUUUUGAUAGCACAUAAAAGUGGAAAAGUUGAUGCUGAAGAACUAGGAAAUGCACUAUACGACUUGUGGUGACUUUUUAAAAUUUUCGGCCGAUCUAUUUGAGAUAAAAACACAAUUGUGAUUACAACUACUUUACUUCUGCUAUGAUUAAUCUUUUUACACAAUUGAGAUUGCAACUAGGGAAAUGUUAACCGGUCAAGAUGAUAAUUGAUGCUGCAUGUCAUUUAAUCAUAGGAGAAGCCCAAAACACUUGUGUUUGGUGGGGUUAAUCCGAAAUAUUUCAAGUGUAAGUACAUAUAUGUCUGUGUGACCUAAAAGGGCUAAUGGCAGGUGAGUCAUUUCAAAUGCCCUUAUACCUAUAUUGUCAUGUAUCUGAUUUUUUCAUAUCAUUAAUUCAUUGCAGGUAAUUUUUUGGUGUUUUUGUACUUAGUUUGAUAUAAGUGACAUUCACAUUAGAGAUAAAACUAUUGUCCUUAUACAUAUAUUUGUGUUUUUAUACUUGGUGAGAGGUAUGCUUGCUUUUCGGGGAACCAUGGGAUGACUAAGAACUUGAAAAAUUUAAUCCACGCAGUUACCAUGAUAACCAUGUGGGAUUUGUGUUAGACGAGAAAUGAUAUGGUGUUUAAAGGCUACAACACUUAUAAUCUUAAGUUGGUUGAAGAUAUCAAAGAGUAUGCAGUGAUGUGGAUUUUUAUCUUGUCGUGGGGUUUUGUUUUUUUGUCUUCUGCUUGUUUCUUUUUUAUGGAUAUAAUCUGUAUAGCUCCUUGUUGGGCAGAUUGCAUUUUGGUGAGUGAG